Phoenix dactylifera (date palm) is the source of this 1240-nucleotide non-coding RNA. The record is from RefSeq and is a predicted model, not a curated record. NCBI's taxonomy places the organism in Eukaryota, Viridiplantae, Streptophyta, Magnoliopsida, Arecales, Arecaceae.
AACCGAUAUGAGACUAAACACACGCCCGCACGGGUCCUCACAAAAAUCUAUUAAAUUUCUAAUAUUAUAUUCAAGAGCAUCUCUGAGUAAGCCCUAUCAUCUUCUACAACAGGAUUUCUGUCUGUGUUACUAGAUCCAAUACUAGCAGUGUAUUCUAUAAUUAAGGGUUGGUUAGAUGAAGACGACAAUUUAGACUCUCUAUGAAAUAUCCAUUCUGUAUAAUCCUUCAAAAAACCAUUCCAUACCAAAUGUUCUUCAACAGUUUGUGGAGCGAUAGCAAAACAAUUUACACAUUUUUGACAUGGACAAAAAAUAUUCCCAUUCAUUUUAGAUUUCUCAAAAGCAAAUUUAACGAAAUUCUGAACUCCAUUCAAAUAUUCGGCACUGGAUCUCGACUUAUUUAUCCAACUUUUGUCCAUUCUAUUAAAAUACUAAUUGAACUGCAAGUAAUAUAAAAAAAUAAUAAACGAAAUUAGGGUAUGAAUCACCAAUACGAACUCAUGGUACAAAAAGAUCUUGGCGAAUUUUAUUAAUACAAAAUAUAAGAUUCCGAGAAGCAUAUGUUGUUCAGUAAUUGUUAUGAACUGAUUUUUAAAUUAUUUUUUUAUAUUUGGAUUUACAUGACCAAGUCAUAAAGCUUCAGGUGCAUUUGUUUGGGCCUGCUGGAGUUACAGGAGUUGUUUUAUUUGCUACUAACAACCCACCAAAAGGACGACGUGGCUAUGAGAAGAUGAGAAGAUGAUCAGUUAUCAUUUUUAAGAUCAAAAUAAUGGUCUCCAGACUUCUCUAAUGUAGAGGCAAGCAAUGAGAAGAUGGUCAACUAUUUCCUCAUUAGUGAAUGAUGAUCCUUGGAUGGCUGAGUUCAUUGGAAACCAUCACUGGCACUGCAGAAGUUUGAUGUCUUCAUAUAUUUUCCAAUAAAAGCCUUUCAAUUUAAAACCAGAGGCAGUAGAGUAUAAAGAUCCCUACCUGGAAACUUGAAUCUUUGCCUGUUCAACAGAUCUGCAAGCUAAUUUGAAGCCAUAGAUCAUGGAAUCCUGUUAAAAGAGGCCUAGAUCUGCAAUUCUUGACCUAUUGAAAACUUUCAAAGCUCAUAUACGUGUACUACAAUUUCUGAGGGAGCUGAACACAAGAAACAUAUGAGUUGGCCAGUUGAAACUCAGAACCCAUAACAUCUAAGGCUAACUGCUUCAGAUUAAUGCCUACCGUUUGCCCACCUCACCAAACUAGAAUAUGUUUU